GCUUUUUGCCUUUCGCCCUAACAGUGCUAGCUGGACCUCUACGACAAAUUCAUCUUCCGAUCCAACUUCCUGCCUCCUUGUGAAUUGCUUCGAAUAACAACCAUUACGACCGCAAAGUUAUAAUGCAUGUCAAUGGGCUGGCCAGUUGGCAGUGCCACCUGACAGUAGGCAGUAAUUAUCGUUACUCUCUCCUAGCCACAGCUUGCCGCGGUCUAUUAUUUAAUUUGCGCAUGGCUGAAGCAUGGCGGAAGUAUUCAAAUAAUAAUAAUAAUAAAACUAAAAUGAAUAAAUUCGAAUUUGUUGCGCCAAUGUCUGCGUCGGCCAUUUACAAUUCAUUGUGUAUACGUGAUGUUGUACAAUUUUAUUGCUGCAUAUUUUGACAGACGGGUCGUUUAUUUUUGUUGUUUACAUAUAUUUAUUUUUAUUAAUGUUUGUUUUUUAUGCAACAAUAAAUGCCACUGGAGUUAAGUAAAUCGAUUCCUAAUAUAGAUUUCAACCCGAUUUUGACCAGUUUAAUAAAGAUACUAGACCUUCA
Molecule: non-coding RNA, 535 nt
Organism: Drosophila virilis
Lineage: Eukaryota; Metazoa; Arthropoda; Insecta; Diptera; Drosophilidae
Source: RefSeq, a predicted model, not a curated record